UAGGGAAUCUUCGGCAAUGGACGAAAGUCUGACCGAGCAACGCCGCGUGAGUGAAGAAGGUUUUCGGAUCGUAAAACUCUGUUGUUAGAGAAGAACAAGGACGUUAGUAACUGAACGUCCCCUGACGGUAUCUAACCAGAAAGCCACGGCUAACUACGUGCCAGCAGCCGCGGUAAUACGUAGGUGGCAAGCGUUGUCCGGAUUUAUUGGGCGUAAAGCGAGCGCAGGCGGUUUCUUAAGUCUGAUGUGAAAGCCCCCGGCUCAACCGGGGAGGGUCAUUGGAAACUGGGAGACUUGAGUGCAGAAGAGGAGAGUGGAAUUCCAUGUGUAGCGGUGAAAUGCGUAGAUAUAUGGAGGCACACCAGUGGCGAAGGCGGCUAUCUGGUCUGUAACUGACGCUGAGGCUCGAAAGCGUGGGGAGCAAACAGG
RNAcentral lists this ribosomal RNA (429 nucleotides) under Gemmatimonadota bacterium. Its description in RNAcentral is "Gemmatimonadetes bacterium partial 16S ribosomal RNA". It matches the Rfam family "Bacterial small subunit ribosomal RNA", at positions 355 to 776 of the family's 1533-position model. Lineage: Bacteria; Pseudomonadati; Gemmatimonadota. The record is from RNAcentral.